UACGGAGGGGGCUAGCGUUGUUCGGAAUUACUGGGCGUAAAGCGCACGUAGGCGGCUUGAAAAGUUGGGGGUGAAAGCCCGGAGCUCAACUCCGGAAUUGCCUUCAAAACUCUCAAGCUAGAGUUCGGAAGAGGAGAGUGGAAUUCCCAGUGUAGAGGUGAAAUUCGUAGAUAUUGGGAAGAACACCAGUGGCGAAGGCGGCUCUCUGGUCCGAUACUGACGCUGAGGUGCGAAAGCGUGGGGAGCAAACAGG
Molecule: ribosomal RNA, 253 nt
Filed under: uncultured bacterium
Lineage: Bacteria
Also listed under: 1 other name
Description: partial 16S ribosomal RNA
Rfam family: Bacterial small subunit ribosomal RNA
Source: RNAcentral